Molecule: ribosomal RNA, 912 nt
Filed under: uncultured bacterium
Lineage: Bacteria
Description: bacterial SSU rRNA
Rfam family: Bacterial small subunit ribosomal RNA
Source: RNAcentral
UCGGUCAGAUGUGAAAGCCCAGGGCUCAACCCUGGACGUGCAUUUGAAACAGUAAGACUUGAGUACUGGAGAGGAAAGCGGAAUUCCUGGUGUAGAGGUGAAAUUCGUAGAUAUCAGGAGGAACACCGAUGGCGAAGGCAGCUUUCUGGACAGAAACUGACGCUGAUGCGCGAAGGCGUGGGUAGCGAACAGGAUUAGAUACCCUGGUAGUCCACGCAGUAAACGAUGUACACUAGGUGUAGGUGAUAUUAAAAUUGUCUGUGCCGCAGCUAACGCAUUAAGUGUACCGCCUGGGGAGUACGGUCGCAAGACUAAAACUCAAAGGAAUUGACAGGGGCCCGCACAAGCGGUGGAGCAUGUGCUUUAAUUCGAUGCAACGCGAAGAACCUUACCAGGGUAUGACAUGUGAGCUUCGACCUUCGGGGAGAGGUUAAUCCUGUGAAAGCAGGACGAAUCACACAGGUGUUGCAUGGCUGUCGUCAGCUCGUGUCGUGAGAUGUUGGGUUAAGUCCCGCAACGAGCGCAACCCUUGCUGUUAGUUACCAUCGGGUAAUGCCGGGGACUCUAGCAGGACUGCCGGUGAUAAACCGGAGGAAGGUGGGGAUGAUGUCAAGUCAUUAUGACCCUUUACACCCUGGGCUAACCACGUGCUACAAUGGUCGGUACAAAGGGGAGCAAUACCGCGAGGUGGAGCAAAUCCCAAAAAGCCGGCCUCAGUACGGAUUGCAGUCUGCAACUCGACUGCAUGAAGCUGGAAUCGCUAGUAAUCGUGGAUCAGCAUGCCACGGUGAAUACGUUCCCGGGCCUUGUACACACCGCCCGUCACACCAUGAGAGUUGAUUAUACCCGACGUCGUUGGGCCAACCUUUUAUUAGGAGGCAGGCGCCUAAGGUAUGGUUGAUAAUUGGGGUG